This 330-nucleotide ribosomal RNA is filed under the name bacterium enrichment culture clone ALO1_GLFRUDD03FSLAO. RNAcentral's name for it is "bacterial SSU rRNA". It matches the Rfam family "Bacterial small subunit ribosomal RNA", at positions 9 to 339 of the family's 1533-position model. The record is from RNAcentral.
GAGUUUGAUCUUGGCUCAGAUUGAACGCUGGCGGCAUGCCUUACACAUGCAAGUCGAACGGCAGCACGGGAGCUUGCUCCUGGUGGCGAGUGGCGAACGGGUGAGUAAUGCAUCGGAACGUAUCCUGGAGUGGGGGAUAACGUAGCGAAAGUUACGCUAAUACCGCAUAUUCUGUGAGCAGGAAAGCGGGGGACCUUCGGGCCUCGCGCUCUUGGAGCGGCCGAUGUCGGAUUAGCUAGUUGGUGAGGUAAAGGCUCACCAAGGCGACGAUCCGUAGCAGGUCUGAGAGGAUGAUCUGCCACACUGGAACUGAGACACGGUCCAGACUCC